This 1528-nucleotide long non-coding RNA is filed under the name Trifolium pratense (red clover). Its description in RNAcentral is "long non-coding RNA (TPRA_LNC003931)". The record is from RNAcentral. Lineage: Eukaryota; Viridiplantae; Streptophyta; Magnoliopsida; Fabales; Fabaceae.
GUUAGAAUCAAGUAUACAAAAUAAGAAAAUAACAAAGUGACGGCUAGGGUUUCAUAGAAUUACAUUACAAUGGCUUAGAAUACAAUGAGUUGUCUUAGGAAUAUAUAAAAAACAUAAAUAAACUAAAUUACUAUUAUGCCCAAAGCCCAAUUACAACCAAAAGCCCAUUACAUUAUUAAAUCACUAAUAUAUUAUCUUAACAUCUCCCCGCAAACUCACAAUGCCUUAACAUGAAGCAUUGAGAGUUUGUCAAACAAGACAUCAAACCAAAACAACUAACAUAGAACAGCAACCAAACUGAGUUGACAUCAUUGAAAAUGCAGCAAGAAACGUCCAAACAAAACCAAGUCAAACCAAACUUAUCCGGUCCAAACUAAACCAAAUCAAAUUGUACUAAUCCAAACCAAUCAAGCAAAAUCAAAUCAAUCUAAACCAACAUAGAGAAGAACCAGAAUACCAAACAGAAGAAUCGGUCAAUAGAAAGAGAAGCAACCAAAAUAGAAGAAAAGACGGAGGGGAGCAAUCCAACAUAAGAUAAAUCAUUAGAGAGGAGCAAUCAAACAAAAGAAAUCAACAGGAGAGACAAUCAACAUAAUUCAGACCAAAGACUCAUUAGGGAGAAGCAGACAGAAGAAAUCAUCGAGGGGGGAAAAAUCAGACAAAAGAUCAGCAGAGAGAUGCAAUCAGACAUAAGAAAUCAAUUGGGAGAAGUGUAAUCAAACAGAAGAAACCAACAGAGGGAGAAAGAAGCAUUCAAACAGAAGAUUCAAUAGAGAGACAAUCNNNNNNNNNNNNNNNNNNNNNNNNNNNNNNNNNNNNNNNNNNNNNNNNNNNNNNNNGAGUAUUACCUCACCAAACAAACAAAUUGUGAGCAAUAUUUUAACUCACCAAUUCAUUCAAACAAAUCUCCAAAUUAAUGGAACCAAACAAACGAAACUAAAUUAAACCGAACCAAAUCAAGUCAUACAAACCAACAUAGACCGAAUCAAACAAUAAACAAAGAGAGAGAACCAAAACCAAAAGCCAAACCAGAUUGCAAAGUAAUGGAUCGCGUCGCACAACUUGCCACAACUUGCUGAACUUCCAAGAUGCUUGACAUUUCCACAAAACACUCUUACUGCAUACAUGCAUUGCUUCACAAAACUCCAAGCUUAAGUACCCCCAAAUCAGCACAUGCAGACAAAACCACCGAUCAUAGCACUUGGUAUCCAACCUAUGACUAUCAUCAAGCACCUUAUGAACAAACUCAAAUCCAAUAUCUCCCUCGCAACAACAACACCUCAUUCCGAUUGGUACUCUCCAGCAAAAGAAAAAAAAUCUAACAAUAACACUAUUUAAGAAACUCACAUCACACUAUAUUCCUACUCUGACAACAUGCCGUAACGGAAGAAUUUUUUUCUUUUCUUUUUCUUAUAACUAACAAUCAACCAGCAGACAUAAAACAACAUCGAUCAUACCAGACCUUAACUCAAAAUCGACAAAACCACUUAGUUACCAAGAGAACUAACCAGAACACUAAUCACCAUAC